AAUCACGCUUACCGCAGAUGGUAUGUUUUGGGAUGUUUUUAUGUACAUCUGCCAUGUUUAAAACACUACAUCCUUUGGAAAGUACCUGAUAUCAGACACAGCAGAAAAACAAAAAACUGGCCCUAUGCGAAAUCUGCACAUUUGUGGCUAUAUGUGUAUAUUUCAAGACAAAAAUCAACAGCAACAACAACAACAACUGCUAAUUAUAGGGUUCUUCAUCAUGCACAGAUGGACUAUCGUUUUUCUUCUGAUAGUACAAGGCACGGGAUGCCUUUGAUGAUGCCAAUUCCAACAGGAUUAUGGGAUUUUGUAGGGCUUACACACAUACAGUUCAUACACCCUCACAUUCUGAAUAUACACACUGUUAUUCUUUAUUCUGAAUUCAGUCUUGAAGCCAUGGCUGCAAUCACAGACUAAUGGACUGGGCAUAAAGUCCACAGUUUCCUUAUCAAACCACGAACAGCACCCUGUUAGGUGGAAGCCUGUCCACAACACCUUGAGCAUCUCUUUCUCUGCUCACAAAGACCAAUGAAAACAUCUGUCCAUUAAUGUGAAAUCAACCUGGCGGCAUGAUUUAUUAAAUUUCUGGUAACAGAAUGACCUGUCAACCGUCUCUAUUGCCGUAUCGUUAAUGUUACGACAUUGGGGGCUUUUCAAAUCAAUGACACAGAGGCUCUGGAGGUGCGCUGUGAGAUGUGGAUUAAUUAAUUUUGUGUGCUAAUGCCUGAUUGUGAAUCAUCCCUGCAUUCUCAUUUGAGCUCUCCUCGAGAUAAUUUUGAAAAUCCUGUUUGGUGAUAAAGGUCUCUAAUCUGCAUGAAAAAUACAUUUUUAAAUGCAUUAUAUCAACGUUGCAGAGACACACAUUAUUCAAAUCCCCAAAUCAGGGAUUACAAAGAAUAGUGCCAAUCACCCUGUACUUAAACUGUGCCUCCAUAAUUGAGUAUUAGUCCAUAAUAUGCCAUAAUCUGCGUACAAAGCUAUGUGUGGAUUUAGAGAGAGAGAGAGAGAGAGAGAAAGAGAGCAAGGGAGGCUGUGGCUGAGUUAUUAUUACACUAAAUCUAAUCUAAUUCUACUCACACUGUAGUGAUGCGUGUUUGUGUUGUUCCAUCUCGCUUCUCUGAUUGGCUGAGAAGCAUCUGUUGAAUGUUGAUAGAAAACCUGCAUUAAAGAGAUAGUUCACCCAAAAAUUAGUCUUCUGUUUUCAUUUACUCAGCCUCAUGUUGAAUCAAACCUGUAGGUUUUCUCUUUUUUCUGUGGGAUACAAAUGACUUUCACUGUAUGAAUAAAAAUAUUCUUCUUUCUUCACCUUUUGUUUUGAUGUCCCUCACCAGAAAGAAAGUCAUACAGGUUUGGAACAAGAUUAGUAUGAGUAAAUCAUGACAGACAUGUCAUUUCUAGGUGAACUAUUCCUUUUAUUCUUUUGUGGUUGUCUUCCCCAAGAUGCGUAAGAAUGUAUAGAUGUAGCAUUCAUGGACCACUGAAGAGCGCCUGCCAGUGUGAAUUUCUACAUCAGAUGGUUUAAUGGCCAUUCUCAUAUGACUCAUAGGUUUCCUGUGGCGUGUUUUGCUGUGCCCUGCAGCUUGUGGACAUUUCUCUUGCUCUGAAUUUGAUGAUGUUGUCUGGUCGAUUGAUAGAGUUGUGACAUUUUCGCAGUUGUCUAUCAGCUGUAUCUUGACAACAUUACAUAGAAGGCUGAAGAAUCUUAUUUCUUUCUUAUUCUUUCUACCCCUAUCAGUCUUAUCUAUUUUUGGGGGGAAUUUAUCUAAGGAAAAAUUCCUUAGAUAAAUUUAUCUAGUCCUGUGAUGUGAAUCAGCUGGUGCGUUUAUCUGUCAGACUUUUUAACACCUAUAUUCCUCAAUAGCGCUAUUAUACACACAGACAUUUUAAAGAUAAAAAAUUUCACUAUUUGCAUAGUUGUGGAGCGAUAAGAAGCUCAUCAGAAACCUUGCCAAGUCAUGAACAGACACAUUUAUCUGUAAGAUCUGAGUAAGAUAUUACUUUUCUAAGCACUAUUAUGUGUUUUUAUGUCAGAUUUGAUGAAUGUUGAGUAACUGAAACAGAUUUUUUCCCCCUUUGUAAUUGCACUCACAACUGUAAUGAACAGAAGCCAAGGAUAUGUGGAU
Molecule: long non-coding RNA, 2123 nt
Filed under: Carassius auratus (goldfish)
Lineage: Eukaryota; Metazoa; Chordata; Actinopteri; Cypriniformes; Cyprinidae
Description: lncRNA (ENSCARG00000042334.1)
Source: RNAcentral